Molecule: ribosomal RNA, 519 nt
Filed under: uncultured bacterium
Lineage: Bacteria
Description: partial 16S ribosomal RNA
Rfam family: Bacterial small subunit ribosomal RNA
Source: RNAcentral
AACGAACGCUGGCGGCGUGCUUAACACAUGCAGGUCGAACGCGAAAGGGACUUCGGUCCCGAGUAGAGUGGCGCACGGGUGAGUAACGCGUAAGUAAUCUACCCCUGUAUUCGGAAUAACCUACCGAAAGGUGAGCUAAUACCGGAUACGUUUAUCUUGAUGCGAAUGAUGAUAAAGAAAGGUGGCCUCUUCUUGAAAGCUACUGUACAGGGAUGAGCUUGCGUACCAUUAGCUAGUUGGUAGGGUAAUGGCCUACCAAGGCGACGCUGGUUAGCGGGUCUGAGAGGAUGACCCGCCACACUGGAACUGGAACACGGACCAGACUCCUGCGGGAGGCAGCAGUGAGGAAUAUUGCGCAAUGGGGGCAACCCUGACGCAGCGACGCCGCGUGAGUGAGGAAGGCCUUCGGGUCGUAAAGCUCUGUCAAGAGGGAAGAAGUGCAUGGUGGUUAAUAUCUGUCAUGUUUGACGGUACCUCUAAAGGAAGCACCGGCUAACUCCGUGCCAGCAGCCGCCGUAA